RNAcentral lists this ribosomal RNA (494 nucleotides) under uncultured bacterium. RNAcentral describes it as "bacterial SSU rRNA". It matches the Rfam family "Bacterial small subunit ribosomal RNA", at positions 28 to 521 of the family's 1533-position model. The record is from RNAcentral.
GAUUAACGCUGGCGGUAUGCCUAACACAUGCAAGUCGAACGGAAUACUCGAAAAGAGAAUCUCACACUAGUGAGAGGUUCUCCAACCGAGUAUUUAGUGGCGGACGGGUGAGUAACACGUUGGAACCUGCCCCGAAGUGGGGAAUAACUGCUCGAAAGAGUAGCUAAUACCCCAUAGUAUCCGGUUUAUCCGGAUUAAAGAUUUAUCGCUUCGGGAGGGGCCUGCGUCUGAUUAGCUUGUUGGUGAGGUAAAAGCUCACCAAGGCGACGAUCAGUAGCUGGUUCGAGAGGAUGACCAGCCACACUGGGACUGAGAUACGGCCCAGACUCCUACGGGAGGCAGCAGUGAGGAAUCUUCCACAAUGGACGAAAGUCUGAUGGAGCAAUACCGCGUGCAGGACGACGCUUUUCGGAGUGUAAACUGCUUUCAGCAGGGACGAAAAUGACGGUACCUGCAGAAGAAGCACCGGCUAACUUCGUGCCAGCAGCCGCGGU